RNAcentral lists this ribosomal RNA (497 nucleotides) under uncultured bacterium. Its description in RNAcentral is "partial 16S ribosomal RNA". It matches the Rfam family "Bacterial small subunit ribosomal RNA", at positions 28 to 507 of the family's 1533-position model. The record is from RNAcentral.
GAUGAACGCUGGCGGCGUGCCUAAUACAUGCAAGUCGAGCGAACAGACGAGGAGCUUGCUCCUCUGACGUUAGCGGCGGACGGGUGAGUAACACGUGGAUAACCUACCUAUAAGACUGGGAUAACUUCGGGAAACCGGAGCUAAUACCGGAUAAUAUAUUGAACCGCAUGGUUCAAUAGUGAAAGACGGUUUUGCUGUCACUUAUAGAUAGAUCCGCGCCGCAUUAGCUAGUUGGUAAGGUAACGGCUUACCAAGGCAACGAUGCGUAGCCGACCUGAGAGGGUGAUCGGCCACACUGGAACUUAGACACGGUCCAGACUCCUACGGGAGGCAGCAGUAGGGAAUCUUCCGCAAUGGGCGAAAGCCUGACGGAGCAACGCCGCGUGAGUGAUGAAGGUCUUCGGAUCGUAAAACUCUGUUAUUAGGGAAGAACAAAUGUGUAAGUAACUAUGCACGUCUUGACGGUACCUAAUCAGAAAGCCACGGCUAACUACGUG